AGUCGAUCAUGGCUCAGAUUGAACGCUGGCGGGAUGCUUACAGCUACGUAAUGAACGGCAGCACGGACUUCGGUCUGGUGGCGGGAGAGAGUGGCGAACGGGUGAGUAAUGUAUCGGAACGUGCCUAGUAGCGGGGGAUAACUACGCGUAGGUAGCUACUACCGCAUACCCUUCGGGGAAAGCGGGGACCUUCGGGCCUCGCACUAUUAGAGCGGCCGAUAUCGGAUUAGCUAGUUGGUGGGGUAACGGCUCACCAAGGCGACGAUCCGUAGCUGGUUUGAGAGGACGACUGUGCCACACUGGGACUGAGACACGGCCCAGACUCCUACGGGAGGCAGUGCGGGGAAUUUUGGACAAUGGGGAAACCCUGAUCCAGCCAUCCCGCGUGUGCGAUGAAGGCCUUCGGGCUGUAAAGCACUUUUGGCAGGAAAGAAACGGCACGGGAUAAUACCCCGUGCAACUGACGGUACCUGCAGAAUAAGCACCGCCAACUACGUGCCAGCAGCCGCGGUAAUACGUAGGUGCAAGCGUUAAUCGGAAUUACUGGGCGUAAAGCGUGCGCAGGCGGUUCGGAAAGAAAGAUGUGAAAUCCUGUAUUUAACUUUGGAACUGCAUUUUUAACUACCGAGCUAGAGUGUGUCAGAGGGAGGUGGAAUUCGCGUGUAGCAGUGAAAUGCGUAGAUAUGCGGAGGGACACCGAUGGCGAAGGCACGCCUCCUCGGGAUAAUGACGCUCGCGCACGAAAGCGUGGGGAGCAAACAGGAUUAGAUACCCCGGUAGUCCACGCCCUAAACGAUGUCAACUAGCUGUUGGGGCCUUCGGGCCUUGGUAGCGCAGCUAACGCGUGAAGCUGGACCGUGUCUGGGGAGUACGGUCGCAAGAUUAAAACUCAAAGGAAUUGACGGGGACCCGCACAAGCGGUGGAUGAUGUGAUUAAUCUGGAUGCAACGCGAAAACCUUACCUACCCUUGACAUGUCUGGAAUCCCGAAGAGAUUUGGGAGUGCUCGCAAGAGAACCGGAACACAGGUGCUGCAUGGCUGUCGUCAGCUCGUGUCGCAGGAUGUUGGGCUAAGUCCCGCAACGAAAGCGCAACCUCGCAUACGACACAUGAAAGGGCACUCCGGAUUGAGACUGCCGGUGACAAACUGGAGGAAGGUGGGGAUGACGUCAAGUCCUCAUGGCCCUUAUGGGUAGGGCUUCACACGUCAUACAAUGGUCGGGACAGAGGGUCGCCAACCCGCGAGGGGGAGCAAUCCAGAAACCCGAUCGUAGUCCGAUCGCAGUCUGCAACUCGACUGCGUGAAGUCGGAAUCGCUAGUAAUCGCGGAUCAGCAUGUCGCGGUGAAUACGUUCCUGGGUCUUGUACACACGCCCGUCACACCAUGGGAGUGGGUUUUACCAGAAGUAGUUAGCCUAACCGUAAGGAGGGCGAUUACCACGGUAGGAUUCAUGACUGGGGUGAAGUCGUAACAAGGUAG
This 1479-nucleotide ribosomal RNA is filed under the name uncultured Bordetella sp. RNAcentral's name for it is "partial 16S-23S ribosomal RNA intergenic spacer". It matches the Rfam family "Bacterial small subunit ribosomal RNA". Lineage: Bacteria; Pseudomonadati; Pseudomonadota; Betaproteobacteria; Burkholderiales; Alcaligenaceae. The record is from RNAcentral.